GACGAACGCUGGCGGCGUGCCUAAUACAUGCAAGUCGAACGCACUCUCGUUUAGAUUGAAGGAGCUUGCUCCUGAUUGAUAAACAUUUGAGUGAGUGGCGGACGGGUGAGUAACACGUGGGUAACCUGCCCUAAAGUGGGGGAUAACAUUUGGAAACAGAUGCUAAUACCGCAUAAAACCUAACACCGCAUGGUGUAGGGUUGAAAGAUGGUUUCGGCUAUCACUUUAGGAUGGACCCGCGGUGCAUUAGUUAGUUGGUGAGGUAAAGGCUCACCAAGACCGUGAUGCAUAGCCGACCUGAGAGGGUAAUCGGCCACACUGGGACUGAGACACGGCCCAGACUCCUACGGGAGGCAGCAGUAGGGAAUCUUCCACAAUGGACGAAAGUCUGAUGGAGCAACGCCGCGUGAGUGAAGAAGGUUUUCGGAUCGUAAAACUCUGUUGUUGGAGAAGAAUGUAUCUGAUAGUAACUGUAUCGAGUAGUGACGGUAUCCAACCAG
This 500-nucleotide ribosomal RNA is filed under the name uncultured bacterium. Its description in RNAcentral is "bacterial SSU rRNA". It matches the Rfam family "Bacterial small subunit ribosomal RNA", at positions 28 to 486 of the family's 1533-position model. The record is from RNAcentral.